CGAUGAUGUCGGAGGGCAAGCGUUCUCUUUCUCAUGCUCUCCAUUAUUUCUUCAGUUAAUCCAUUCUAUAAACCCACAUUACCCUUUCUCAUAAUUUCCAUCCGAUGAUCAAUAACUGUACAUGUCACGCCACCUAGCCUGCUGCUUCCCUCUUCUUUUCCCUUCUUGAUCCAACGCUUCACUUAACUUCUCCUCUACCGCCUCUGUUUCUUGAAAUCGAAGCCUCUCACCCCAAACAUCAACUUAUACGCUCCAACCCUACUGAAGAGAAAACUUGAAAUAUUCUUUGGUCUGAUCUCAGCUAAUCAAACGUCCAGAACCAUGAAGCAAAGCAGAGAAUGAUUUUCAUCCCCUUUUUUCAUCGACAUGUCUGCUUUCACCCAAAUCGACGCCUCUCACAGGCGAUGGUCAUAGUGGAGGUAGCGUUUGUUUUUGCCAGUCUGAUUCGACUAUUUGUUUCCCAAUUUCACAAUGUUGAGGUAUUUUUGAACCAUGUUGGUUUUAAUUUGUUAUUUGGGAAUGCAACAGUCUCAUACAGACAAGUUGUGAAGAGCGUUUAUUGCUGAAGAAUCUGUAAUUUUGUUUGUUUUCAUCAUCUUGACUAGGUGCGAUAUAUGAUAAGUUUACUUAUUAACUUGUGUAGGCUUAUGAAAGGGUUUAAUGAUCGGGAUAAUUCCAGUUACCUCCAAGGU
Molecule: long non-coding RNA, 692 nt
Filed under: Lactuca sativa (garden lettuce)
Lineage: Eukaryota; Viridiplantae; Streptophyta; Magnoliopsida; Asterales; Asteraceae
Description: long non-coding RNA (LSAT_LNC003439)
Source: RNAcentral